AUUGAACGCUUGCGGCAUGCUUUACACAUGCAAGUCGACCGAGUGGCGAACGGGUGAGUAACAUAUCGGAACGUACCGAGUAAUGGGGGAUAACUAACCGAAAGAUUAGCUAAUACCGAAUAUUAUUCGCGCGGCCGAUAUCUGAUUAGCUGGUUGGUGGGGUAAAGGCGUACCAAGGCGACGAUCAGUAGCUGGUCUGAGAGGAUGAUCAGCCACACGGGGACUGAGACACGGCCCAGACGCCUACGGGAGGGAGCAGUGGGGAAUUUUGGACAAUGGGCGCAAGCCUGAUCAAGCCCUGCCGAGUGUCUGAAGAAGGCCUUCGGGUUGUAAAGGACGUUUGUCAGGGAAACGGUACCUGAAGAAUAAGCACCGGCUAACGACGUGCCAGCCGCCGCGGUAAUUC
This 406-nucleotide ribosomal RNA is filed under the name uncultured bacterium. RNAcentral's name for it is "partial 16S ribosomal RNA". It matches the Rfam family "Bacterial small subunit ribosomal RNA", at positions 30 to 526 of the family's 1533-position model. The record is from RNAcentral.